RNAcentral lists this ribosomal RNA (301 nucleotides) under uncultured bacterium. Its description in RNAcentral is "partial 16S ribosomal RNA". It matches the Rfam family "Bacterial small subunit ribosomal RNA", at positions 509 to 807 of the family's 1533-position model. The record is from RNAcentral.
CAGUAGCCGCGGUAAUACGUAGGUGGCAAGCGUUGUCCGGAAUUAUUGGGCGUAAAGGGCUCGCAGGCGGUUUCUUAAGUCUGAUGUGAAAGCCCCCGGCUCAACCGGGGAGGGUCAUUGGAAACUGGGAAACUUGAGUGCAGAAGAGGAGAGUGGAAUUCCACGUGUAGCGGUGAAAUGCGUAGAGAUGUGGAGGAACACCAGUGGCGAAGGCGACUCUCUGGUCUGUAACUGACGCUGGGGAGCGAAAGCGUGGGGAGCGAACAGGAUUAGAUACCCCGGUAGUCCCUGUCUCUUAUAC